CCUACGGGUGGCAGCAGUGAGGAAUAUUGGUCAAUGGACGAAAGCCUGAACCAGCCAAGUAGCGUGCAGGAUGAAUGCCCUACGGGUUGUAAACUUCUUUUGUACGGGGAUAACACCUUCCACGUGUGGAGUUUUGCAUGUACCUUACGAAUAAGGACCGGCUAAUUCCGUGCCAGCAGCCGCGGUAAUACGGAGGUCCCGAUCGUUAUCCGGAUUUAUUUGGCUUAAAGGGAGCGGAGGCGGAGUGUUAAGUCAGGUGGGAAAGCCGCGGGCUUAACCGGACAAUCGCAGUUGAAACUGGACGCCUUGAGUACAGAAGAGGGGGGCGGAAUUCGUGGUGUAGCGGUGAAAUGCUUAGAUAUCACGAGGAACACCGAGUGCGAAGGCAGCCCACUGGGGUGCGACUGACACGGAGGCUCGAAAGUGUGGGUAUCAAACAGGAUUAGAUACCCCUGUAGUC
Molecule: ribosomal RNA, 460 nt
Filed under: uncultured bacterium
Lineage: Bacteria
Description: partial 16S ribosomal RNA
Rfam family: Bacterial small subunit ribosomal RNA
Source: RNAcentral